This is a long non-coding RNA of Bubalus bubalis (water buffalo), 861 nucleotides long. RefSeq lists it as uncharacterized. The record is from RefSeq and is a predicted model, not a curated record. NCBI's taxonomy places the organism in Eukaryota, Metazoa, Chordata, Mammalia, Artiodactyla, Bovidae. The transcript has 2 exons.
CAGGCUUGCUGCAGCACCUCCUGAACAAUUGGGCUGUCGUUGUCUUAACAGAGUGGUUGGGUUAAACAUAUUUGUCUAUGAUGUAACCUCCUGGCCCUCAGCUACCAGUGGAAACAACUCUUUCUGGUUUGACCUGGUUGAUAUCACAAGCUCUGCUUUGCCAGAAAUGUGACUUCUUGAUGAACAGUUGGUCUAGAUCUACCAAUUUGGAGUGAACUCAUAUUUGGCCACCUGCUGGAGCACCAGCGACCAAGAGGAGACCAGAUGAGUUUUCAAAGCAGUCCUCAGACACCCAGGACACACCUCAUCCUUUGCCUCGUGCUUUCUGCAAUGUUGCUGCUCACGUUCAUCUUCCUCUUAACCCUCGCCAUCAUCACCCCCUCUUGAUCACCAUCCUUCCUCCAUUCACUGUCUACCCAGCUCUUUCUCUGAGGUGCCCCUCCUGGGGCAGUGGCUUUGCUCUUUCUUUGGCAAGUUCCCCUCUGAGUUAUAUCCAGAUGGCUGAUAAUAGUUUCCCUGUCUCCUCCUCCUGCCUCGUGCCAGAAUCAGCCCAGUACUCAGCCCCCCAGGUCAGGGAAACCACGGCAAAUCCUACCUCUUCCAAAAUGAAGUUUCAAGACUCUCUGGCAGAGCAGUCUCACUCAAUGAAGGUACCCCAGGUAUCUGAGAGUGAUGUAAUUGAAACCAGAUGGAGGCACCAUCAAUCCAUUAAUUCUGGUCACAUAGAGUGAAAGAGCUUACUUAGGACUGAUCGAGAAUAUGGGGGGUAAGAAAGAAAGAGCCCCAGAAUUGGACUGCCCCUGAAUACAGGAUGAAAUCAUCUUGAUUUUUUUUCUUCAAUUAAAUUUACAUUUCAUUCUA